CGGGGUUGGAUCCGACUCUCAUAGGCUCUCCAACCCAACUCCUACUCAAUACGUCCUCGUCGUACAGAACGGUAACAUGUCUUCCGAACAUCCGCGCUUGGGUAUGCGAGUACUACACCUUACCCAACCCCCGCCAGCGGGGAGGAUGGAAGACAUGGCUAAAUUGAGAGGGGGGAGAAUAGAGGAUUUGCAUUGUCGGGCAGACUCUAUUCUCGAGCCGGUGGCUCACCCCGUCCUGGCGGGAGCUCGAACCAGGAUCCGACACAAUCAUGCUUGGACACGAACGAAACCACGUACUACAAUCCAGGCAGUGAAACGAAAGACAGCAGUACACCUGCUGCAAACAGAAGAUACCACUACUGAUCAUCACACUCCAAUGCCACAGCGCCGGAUUGUACACAGUUGCUGCCGAGCCAGCAAGUCCAGAAGAGCAGCAUCAGUGGAUCUACUGAUCAUCACACUUCGAGACUCAUCGCGCAGGGUUGUAACACGAUUCGAGCCGAGCAGCUGAGUGAGGACGAGCAACAGUCUGAUCAUCACACUUCAAUGCCACAGCGCCGGAUUGUACAUAGUUCCUGCCGAGCCAGCAAGUCCAGAAGAGCAGCAUCAGUGGAUCUACUGAUCAUCACACUUCGAGACUCAUCGCGCAGGGUUGUAACACGAUUCGAGCCGAGCAGCUGAGUGAGGACGAGCAGCUGAGUGAGGACGAGCAACAGCCUGAUCAUCACACUCCAAUGCCACAGCGCCGGAUUGUACAUAGUUCCUGCCGAGCCAGCAAGUCCAGAAGAGCAGCAUCAGUGGAUCUACUGAUCAUCACACUUCGAGACUCAUCGCGCAGGGUUGUAACACGAUUCGAGCCGAGCAGCUGAGUGAGGACGAGCAACAGCCUGAUCAUCACACUCCAAUGCCACAGCGCCGGAUUGUACAUAGUUCCUGCCGAGCCAGCAAGUCCAGAAGAACAGCAUCAGUGGAUCUACUGAUCAUCACACUUCGAGACUCAUCGCGCAGGGUUGUAACACGAUUCGAGCCUAGCAGCUGAGUGAGGACGAGCAACAGCCUGAUCAUCACACUCCAAUGCCACAGCGCCGGAUUGUACAUAGUUCCUGCCGAGCCAGCAAGUCCAGAAGAGCAGCAUCAGUGGAUCUACUGAUCAUCACACUUCGAGACUCAUCGCGCAGGGUUGUAACACGAUUCGAGCCGAGCAGCUGAGUGAGGACGAGCAACAGCCUGAUCAUCACACUCCAAUGCCACAGCGCCGGAUUGUACAUAGUUCCUGCCGAGCCAGCAAGUCCAGAAGAGCAGCAUCAGUGGAUCUACUGAUCAUCACACUUCGAGACUCAUCGCGCAGGGUUGUAACACGAUUCGAGCCGAGCAGCUGAGUGAGGACGAGCAACAGCCUGAUCAUCACACUCCAAUGCCACAGCGCCGGAUUGUACAUAGUUCCUGCCGAGCCAGCAAGUCCAGAAGAGCAGCAUCAGUGGAUCUACUGAUCAUCACACUUCGAGACUCAUCGCGCAGGGUUGUAACACGAUUCGAGCCGAGCAGCUGAGUGAGGACGAGCAACAGCCUGAUCAUCACACUCCAAUGCCACAGCGCCGGAUUGUACAUAGUUCCUGCCGAGCCAGCAAGUCCAGAAGAGCAGCAUCAGUGGAUCUACUGAUCAUCACACUUCGAGACUCAUCGCGCAGGGUUGUAACACGAUUCGAGCCGAGCAGCUGAGUGAGGACGAGCAACAGCCUGAUCAUCACACUCCAAUGCCACAGCGCCGGAUUGUACAUAGUUCCUGCCGAGCCAGCAAGUCCAGAAGAGCAGCAUCAGUGGAUCUACUGAUCAUCACACUUCGAGACUCAUCGCGCAGGGUUGUAACACGAUUCGAGCCGAGCAGCUGCGUGAGGACGAGCAACAGUCUGAUCAUCACACUCCAAUGCCACAGCGCCGGAUUGUACAUAGUUCCUGCCGAGCCAGCAAGUCCAGAAGAGCAGCAUCAGUGGAUCUACUGAUCAUCACACUUCGAGACUCAUCGCACAGGGUUGUAACACGAUUCGAGCCGAGCAGCUGAGUGAGGACGAGCAACAGCCUGAUCAUCACACUCCAAUGCCACAGCGCCGGAUUGUACACAGUUCCUGCCGAGCCAGCAAGUCCAGAAGAGCAGCAUCAGUGGAUCUACUGAUCAUCACACUUCGAGACUCAUCGCGCAGGGUUGUAACACGAUUCGAGCCGAGCAGCUGAGUGAGGACGAGCAGCUGAGUGAGGACGAGCAACAGCCUGAUCAUCACACUCCAAUGCCACAGCGCCGGAUUGUACAUAGUUCCUGCCGAGCCAGCAAGUCCAGAAGAGCAGCAUCAGUGGAUCUACUGAUCAUCACACUUCGAGACUCAUCGCGCAGGGUUGUAACACGAUUCGAGCCGAGCAGCUGAGUGAGGACGAGCAACAGCCUGAUCAUCACACUCCAAUGCCACAGCGCCGGAUUGUACAUAGUUCCUGCCGAGCCAGCAAGUCCAGAAGAGCAGCAUCAGUGGAUCUACUGAUCAUCACACUUCGAGACUCAUCGCGCAGGGUUGUAACACGAUUCGAGCCGAGCAGCUGCGUGAGGACGAGCAACAGUCUGAUCAUCACACUCCAAUGCCACAGCGCCGGAUUGUACAUAGUUCCUGCCGAGUCAGCAAGUCCAGAAGAGCAGCAUCAGUGGAUCUACUGAUCAUCACACUUCGAGACUCAUCGCGCAGGGUUGUAACACGAUUCGAGCCGAGCAGCUGAGUGAGGACGAGCAACAGCCUGAUCAUCACACUCCAAUGCCACAGCGCCGGAUUGUACAUAGUUCCUGCCGAGCCAGCAAGUCCAGAAGAGCAGCAUCAGUGGAUCUACUGAUCAUCACACUUCGAGACUCAUCGCGCAGGGUUGUAACACGAUUCGAGCCGAGCAGCUGCGUGAGGACGAGCAACAG
This is a long non-coding RNA of Anopheles merus, 2944 nucleotides long. RefSeq lists it as uncharacterized. The record is from RefSeq and is a predicted model, not a curated record. The transcript has 2 exons. Lineage: Eukaryota; Metazoa; Arthropoda; Insecta; Diptera; Culicidae.